CUACGGAAUCCCACCUCGCCGCCGCCAAACCCUCGCCCCUCUUCCACCAUAGCCCACCGAGCUCUCCCACGCCAGAAAUUCUCCGAGCGGGAGCUCGCCCCUUCCAACGCCGCGUCCUCCUCCAGCUCCACAGGGGCUGGUGUUCGUGAGAUUCCCGUUGGUUCCCGCGACCCCGCGCGCAGUAUCCCCUGGGUGGGCUCGUCCGCCAUGUUUCCGCCCAAAGGGCCCAAUCCCUAUGGGCAGCAGCCACCAUACGGCGGGCAGCAAUCUUACGGCGGCCAAAUCCCUGGUAGCAGUGGAUUUGGGGCCUCAGCUGCGGCAGGUGCCCGUGCCGGACAGGGUGCUGCUGGGCAGUAUGGAGGGCCUUACGCGUCGGUGUAUGGCACACAGCAGGUUGGGGGAGUUGGUGGCAAAGGGUCUAACUUGGCAAGACCAAACGAUGACUAUAUGGCUGUGCGUGGAUAUGCACAGAAGCUAGACCAGUAUGGUACUGAUUACACAUCAGAGAGAAGAAUGUAUGGUGAACACUCAGCUAAUCUUGGCAGGAGGGAUGGCCUUACUGAUUUGGAUAGAAGAUAUCCUGAUCAUCUACCUGCAGCCCAUCAGAUUCAUGACCGUGUGGAGCAGGGUUCAACAAUGCGCCAUCAGCCACUUCUGAAAGCUCAGCUGGCGCCUGUGUCUGAUAUGAGACAAGCCGAUUACUUUGCAGGAAGGUCUGCUCCAAUCCAUCAAGAAUCUCAGGAAAUUGGUACAUAUGGAAGGGCUGAAGCUGAGCAUCGCAACUUGUCCAUUCUUGGGAAUGUUCCAUAUGGAGGACAACAGACAUCUUCAUUGUUGGGAGGUGCCCCUAGGACAAACAUUGAUAGUCUUGGCUAUGGGCAAGGAUCAUCAAGCAGCGGUUAUGGGAUGAGUCUGCCCCCUGGACGUGACUAUGCCUCGGGGAAAGGCCUUCUCCAUCCAUCUUCAGAUUCUGAUUACCGUGACAACAUCUUACCCCGUGCACGUCAAGGCAUCUCCAUGGUUGAUGAACGUGCAAUUGACCGGAUUGGUUAUCGUCGUGAGCUGGAUCUAAGAGAUGAGGAUCGUCGAAGGGAUCUGCUACUUGAAAGGGAGAAGGAGCUUGAACGGGAGCGGGAACGGGAGUUGCGAGACCUUCGAGACCGUGAAAGAGAAAGAGACCGUGAAAGAGAAAGAGAACGUGAAAGGGAAAGGGACCGUGAAAGAUUAAGGGAACGUGAAAGAGAAAGGGAGCGGGAGCGUCAAAGGGAACACGAAAGAGAACGUCUUCGCGAGCGCCGCGAGAAGGAGAGGGAGCGGAACAAGAAGCAUGUAGCUGAUUCAAGGCGUGAGCGCACUCCACCUAGAACCCCUGGUGAUCGACGACGUUCUUCUUCUGUUAGGUCUGAGAAGCCUUUGCGGCGCCUUUCACCUCGACGUGAUGCUGUGCAUAGGCAUCGUUCACCUAUUAAAGAAAUAAAGAGAGAAUAUUUGUGCAAGGUUUUGCCAUUUCGGUUGGUGGAUGAUGAGAGAGACUGUUUAUCUUUGACAAAAAGAUAUCCUAGGCUAUCAGUUAUUCCAGAUUUUUCUAAGAUUGUCUUGAACUGGGCUAAAGAAAGCCUAAAUCUUUCACUGCAUACACCAGUGAGUCUGGAGCAUGCCAUCUGUGAAGAUGAUGAUAAAGCUGAUGAAAGUGCACUGGUCUCUUCUGAGAACACAUCAAGCAUAAAGACCCCUGAAACCAUUUGGAAUGCAAAGGUACUUCUGAUGAGUGGUAUGAGCAAUGGUGCCUUUGCUGACAUAACGUCGAUGAGAAGUACUGACGAACGAGUGGUGCACUUGAACAAUAUCUUAAAAUUUGCUGUAUUCAAGAAGGAUCGUUCACUUCUUGCUAUUGGAGGCCCUUGGAAUGCAGCACUUGAUGGUGGAGAUCCAUUGGUUGACUGUUCUUGCUUGAUUCGAACUGCUAUCAGAUAUGUGAAGGAACUGGUUCAAGUCGAUCUAUCUAAUUGUACCAGUUGGAAUCGUUUCCUCGAGGUUCAUUACAACAGAGUUGGCAAUGAUGGACUCUUUAGUCACAAAGAAAUUACUGUACUGUUUGUGCCAAACCUGUCGGAAUGCAUACCAUCUAUGGAUAUAUGGAGGAGCAACUGGAUUGCAUACCGAAAAUCAAAGAUAGAAAGGGAGCAGCUGAUUAUGAAGGAAAAGAGCCCAGGUGAUCCAAAGGAACAGAAACAAGUUUUAGAGGAGCCAAGCGAGGCUAAAAGUACGAAUGAUCAAUUAAAGGAGGGUGAUGGUGCUGCCAAGAUUGAGAAAAUUGAUGCUGAUAUGGAACUGAAGGAGGGUGAUGGUGCUGCCAAGAUUGAGAAAAUUGAUGCUGAAAUGGAACUGAAGGAGGGUGAUGGUGCUACCAAGAUUGAGAAAAUUGAUGCUGAUAUGGAAGAACAGGGCAAAGAUGGAGAUGUCAAUCUUGCUGGUGAUGGUGGGAAGAAUCCUGACAAUGUUGGGGAGCAAGUUGAGAAGAUUGUGGGGGUUGUUGAAGAGAACACUUCUGGUGAUGCUUCUGUUGACCAUGUCACCGAGGAUAAAAAGCCCUUGAAAAAGAAAAUAAUAAAAAAGGUUGUGAAAGUUGUUCGAAAAAAGCCAACUGCUGAAGCUCCAGUGGGUAAAUCGCCUCAGGUUGACAAGAAUGCCGUGGCAGAAACUGCGAGCAAAACCGUCCAAAAGCACAUUGAACAGAAAAGUGAGGAUCUUGGGAAAGAGAAGGCGGGAGCUGUCAUCGUUCAACAGCCUGAGGCUAAGAAAACUGGGAAGAAGAAGGUCAUUCGAAGGAUUGUUAAAAGAAAAGUUCCUGCUUCAGCGACUGAGCCAACAGCCCUUGCUGCACCUGCUGAAGCAAGUAAACAAGAUGUGGAUGUUCAGCCAGAGAAGAUUGCUGAAGGCAUCACUGAUGCUGGGAAUUCACAGACUAAGCUGGAAGAAGGAUUGAAAAUUCCCACUGAAGAUAUUUCAAACCAGAAGAAAGAAGGAUUGAAAACUCCUGCUGAAGAUAUUUCAAACCAGAAGAAAGAGGAAGGAUUUAAAACUCCUGCUGAAGAUACCUCAAAUCAGAAGAAAGAACAGGAGCUGGAGAUAAAGGGAGACAUAAUGACUGAUGAUCAAAAGGCAAAUACAGAUAAUGUUAACCAGCAGGAAGUUGUAGAACAGAAAGAUCCGAAAAUUGAUGAAACAAACGAAAAGAGUGACCAGAAAAAGGAUGACAACGAAACAAAGGAUAAAGACCAGAAGAUGGACUCAAAGAAAAAGUCGCCCAUUGACACCAAAGAAAAGAAGAAGUCUGAUGAGCCUCCGAAACACCCAGGAUUCAUUCUCCAGGCCAAAAAGAGCAAAGGAUAUAAACUCCGUUCAACAUCCCUUUCAUUGGAUGGCCUCCUGGACUACACCGCCAAUGAUACAGAGGAGUCUGUAUUUGAGCUUUCUUUGUUUGCCGAGUCUUUCAGCGAAAUGCUUCAGUACAGAAUGGGUUGUGUGAUCUUGUCUUUUCUUGAGAAACUUUACAGGCAGUAUGUUGUGAGGAGGAAUCAACGUAAGCGCCAAAGAGAGGAAGAUCUAAAGAAGGAAGACACAAUAUCCUUGGAGAAGCGACUAAAGACAACUGAUGAGAAUGUAACUGGAAGUACCUCAGGUAACCCAGGUAAAAAUGAUGAAACAAUAAAAGAGGGUGGAGAAAAGAUAAUUGGCGAUAAUUCAUCAGCUUCCCAUGAGCAACUGGUCAAAGAGGAUGAUGAGAAGAUGAGUACAGAUCAUGCUGCCCAGGAUGAAAUGAUGAAAGAGGGAGAGGAAAAGAUUGAUGCAGAUCAGUCAGCAGCUGCCCAUGAUGAACCUAAAGCUGAUGAGAAAAUGGAGGAAGAAGAUCCUGAAUAUGAAGAAGAUCCCGAUGAAGUAGAAUAUGAGGGCGACGAGGACAUGGAUGAUGCCACUGCUGAAGAGCCGGCAGAAGCACAGAAUGAGGAUAACUCAAAUGAAAGAGAAACCAAGCCAGAAGAGGUAACCGCAGAAGAUGACGGAAAGAGGACAACGGAGAAUCUUAAAUUGGAAAAAACAGAAGAGGACACGCAGUCUGUAGCAGAGAAAGGAGAUUUGAAAGAAGUUGAAGAGAAAUCUGCUGGUAAGGAGGGAAAGAUAUCUGGAUCACAGAAAGGAGAUUCAGCGAAACAUGAUGUGGUUGAUAAGGACCUGUUGCAGGCUUUUAGGUACUUCGACCAAAACAGAGUUGGUUAUAUAAAGGUGGAUGAUUUAAGGUGCAUCCUUCACAACUUGGGGAAAUUUUUAUCCAACAGGGAUGUGAAGGACAUGGUUCAAAUUGCUCUUGCUGAGAGCAAUUCUUCAAGGGAUGGUCGCAUUAUCUAUACAAAGCUUGUCAAGAAAGCUGACCUCUAAUCUGGACCUGGUUUUGGCCCUAGCAGCUCGUUGAGUUAUGGAACUUGUUUGUUGGAGAUUCUUGACAGUGAAUCGAUGAUCAAUGGAAAGUCAGCCGAAUAGUGUACUUCUAUGUAGCUGGGAGCUAGUUUUCAUUUCUUUGAAUGAAUAUUUGUUACUUAACAAAAAUUGAUAUCGUUUGUAUGUUGACCUACUAGAAAAUUUUCAUUAGAUUUUUUUUUCACAAAGCAAACAUAAUGGCCUAAUAAUAAUAACAUUUGCUGGUGUUGUAUUUUCGAUUUUCUUGUGGCACCACACAAU
This 4737-nucleotide ribosomal RNA is filed under the name Triticum aestivum (bread wheat). Its description in RNAcentral is "partial small subunit ribosomal RNA". The record is from RNAcentral. Lineage: Eukaryota; Viridiplantae; Streptophyta; Magnoliopsida; Poales; Poaceae.